GAUUCCUCUUGAGCCCUGUGCAUGGCACCACCCAGGGUCAGGCAGCACCAAAACACGCGCUUGCGCAUAACUGGGGUCAACUGCUCCCGCCCAGGCCCUCUUAACUGCAAGUGACAGGG
This is a small nucleolar RNA of Molossus molossus (Pallas's mastiff bat), 119 nucleotides long. The record is from RefSeq and is a predicted model, not a curated record. NCBI's taxonomy places the organism in Eukaryota, Metazoa, Chordata, Mammalia, Chiroptera, Molossidae.